AUGGUGCAUGAUGAUGGAAGCCGUGUCU
Molecule: non-coding RNA, 28 nt
Filed under: Homo sapiens (human)
Lineage: Eukaryota; Metazoa; Chordata; Mammalia; Primates; Hominidae
Source: RNAcentral